This 253-nucleotide ribosomal RNA is filed under the name uncultured bacterium. RNAcentral describes it as "partial 16S ribosomal RNA". It matches the Rfam family "Bacterial small subunit ribosomal RNA", at positions 524 to 776 of the family's 1533-position model. The record is from RNAcentral.
UACGUAGGGGGCUAGCGUUGUCCGGAUUUAUUGGGCGUAAAGAGCGUGUAGGCGGCCAGGUAGGUCUGCUGUGAAAACUCGAGGCUCAACCUCGAGAUGUCGGCGGAAACCAUCUGGCUAGAGUCCGGAAGAGGAGAGUGGAAUUCCCGGUGUAGCGGUGAAAUGCGCAGAUAUCGGGAAGAACACCCGUGGCGAAGGCGGCUCUCUGGGACGGUACUGACGCUGAGACGCGAAAGCGUGGGGAGCGAACAGG